UCGGGAAUUUUGGGCAAUGGGCGAAAGCCUGACCCAGCAACGCCGCGUGAAGGAUGAAGUAUUUCGGUAUGUAAACUUCGAAAGAAUAGGAAGAAUAAAUGACGGUACUAUUUAUAAGGUCCGGCUAACUACGUGCCAGCAGCCGCGGUAAUACGUAGGGACCAAGCGUUGUUCGGAUUUACUGGGCGUAAAGGGCGCGUAGGCGGCUCUGUAAGUCACUUGUGAAAUCUCUGAGCUUAACUCAGAACGGCCAAGUGAUACUGCAGAGCUAGAGUGUAGAAGGGGCAAUCGGAAUUCUUGGUGUAGCGGUGAAAUGCGUAGAUAUCAAGAGGAACACCUGAGGUGAAGACGGGUUGCUGGUCUAACACUGACGCUGAGGCGCGAAGGCGUGGGGAGCAAACAGGAUUAGAUACCCCCGUAGUCCCUGAGCGGGCUGGCAAGGCG
Molecule: ribosomal RNA, 444 nt
Filed under: uncultured bacterium
Lineage: Bacteria
Description: bacterial SSU rRNA
Rfam family: Bacterial small subunit ribosomal RNA
Source: RNAcentral